RNAcentral lists this ribosomal RNA (418 nucleotides) under uncultured bacterium. RNAcentral describes it as "bacterial SSU rRNA". It matches the Rfam family "Bacterial small subunit ribosomal RNA", at positions 29 to 447 of the family's 1533-position model. The record is from RNAcentral.
AUUGAACGCUGGCGGCGUGCCUAACACAUGCAAGUCGAGCGGUAACAGGUGUAGCAAUACAUGCUGACGAGCGGCGGACGGGUGAGUAACGCUUGGGAAUCUGCCUGUUAGUGGGGGACAACCCGGGGAAACUCGGGCUAAUACCGCAUACGCACUACGGUGGAAAGCCGGGGACCGCAAGGCCUGGCGCUAACAGAUGAGCCCAAGUCGGAUUAGCUAGUUGGUAGGGUAACGGCCACCAAGGCGACGAUCCGUAACUGGUCUGAGAGGACGACCAGUCACACCGGAACUGAGACACGGUCCGGACUCCUACGGGAGGCAGCAGUGGGGAAUAUUGGACAAUGGGCGAAAGCCUGAUCCAGCGACGCCGCGUGGGUGAAGAAGGCCUGCGGGUUGUAAAGCCCUUUCGGUGGGGAAG